GAUGAACGCUGGCGGCGUGCCUAAUACAUGCAAGUCGAGCGAACAGACGAGGAGCUUGCUCCUCUGACGUUAGCGGCGGACGGGUGAGUAGCACGUGGAUAACCUACCUAUAAGACUGGGAUAACUUCGGGAAACCGGAGCUAAUACCGGAUAAUAUAUUGAACCGCAUGGUUCAAUAGUGAAAGACGGUUUUGCUGUCACUUAUAGAUGGAUCCGCGCCGCAUUAGCUAGUUGGUAAGGUAACGGCUUACCAAGGCAACGAUGCGUAGCCGACCUGAGAGGGUGAUCGGCCACACUGGAACUGAGACACGGUCCAGACUCCUACGGGAGGCAGCAGUAGGGAAUCUUCCGCAAUGGGCGAAAGCCUGACGGAGCAACGCCGCGUGAAUGAUGAAGGUCUUCGGAUCGUAAAACUCUGUUAUUAGGGAAGAACAAAUGUGUAAGUAACUAUGCACGUCUUGACGGUACCUAAUCAGAAAGCCACGGCUAACUACGUG
This 497-nucleotide ribosomal RNA is filed under the name uncultured bacterium. Its description in RNAcentral is "partial 16S ribosomal RNA". It matches the Rfam family "Bacterial small subunit ribosomal RNA", at positions 28 to 507 of the family's 1533-position model. The record is from RNAcentral.